UGGGGGAAUAUUGCACAAUGGGGGAAACCCGUGAUGCAGCGACGCCGCGUGAACGAAGAAGUAUUUCGGUAUGUAAAGUUCUAUCAGCAGGGAAGAUAAUGACGGUACCUGACGAAGAAGCACCGGCUAACUCCGUGCCAGCAGCCGCGGUAAUACGGAGGGUGCAAGCGUUAAUCGGAAUAACUGGGCGUAAAGGGCAUGCAGGCGGUUAUACAAGUAGGAUGUGAAAGCCUGGGGCUCAACCUCAGAACUGCAUUCUAAACUGUGUGACUAGAGUAUUGCAGGGGGAGACGGAAUUUCAGGUGUAGCGGUGGAAUGCGUAGAUAUCUGAAAGAACACCAAAGGCGAAGGCAGUCUCCUGGGCAAAUACUGACGCUCAUAUGCGAAAGCGUGGGUAGCAAACAGGAUUAGAUACCCUGGUAGU
This 424-nucleotide ribosomal RNA is filed under the name uncultured Succinivibrio sp. RNAcentral's name for it is "bacterial SSU rRNA". It matches the Rfam family "Bacterial small subunit ribosomal RNA", at positions 354 to 794 of the family's 1533-position model. The record is from RNAcentral. Lineage: Bacteria; Pseudomonadati; Pseudomonadota; Gammaproteobacteria; Aeromonadales; Succinivibrionaceae.